RNAcentral lists this ribosomal RNA (253 nucleotides) under uncultured bacterium. RNAcentral's name for it is "partial 16S ribosomal RNA". It matches the Rfam family "Bacterial small subunit ribosomal RNA", at positions 524 to 776 of the family's 1533-position model. The record is from RNAcentral.
UACGUAGGGUGCAAGCGUUGUCCGGAAUUAUUGGGCGUAAAGAGCUCGUAGGCGGUUUGUCGCGUCUGCUGUGAAAUCCCGAGGCUCAACCUCGGGCCUGCAGUGGGUACGGGCAAACUAGAGUGCGGUAGGGGAGAUUGGAAUUCCUGGUGUAGCGGUGGAAUGCGCAGAUAUCAGGAGGAACACCGAUGGCGAGGGCAGAUCUCUGGGCCGUAACUGACGCUGAGGAGCGAAAGCGUGGGGAGCGAACAGG